This 300-nucleotide ribosomal RNA is filed under the name uncultured Desulfurococcus sp. RNAcentral's name for it is "bacterial SSU rRNA". The stretch from base 52 to 300 matches the Rfam family "Bacterial small subunit ribosomal RNA", at positions 547 to 795 of the family's 1533-position model. Lineage: Archaea; Thermoproteati; Thermoproteota; Thermoprotei; Desulfurococcales; Desulfurococcaceae. The record is from RNAcentral.
GCUAGCACGUGGGAGGGGGACUGGGGAUACGGUGGGUGGUGGGGUUUAUACGGAAUUGCGGGGCGGAAGGCGUGGGCGGGCGGGUGUGCAAGCCGGCUGUGAAAGCCCCGGGCUCAACCGGGGAAUGGCAGUCGGGACUGCAAGGCUGGAGUGCGGCAGAGGAGACUGGAAGUCCUGGUGUAGCAGUGAAAUGCGUAGAUAUCAGGAGGAAUACCGAUGGCGAAGGCAGGUCUCUGGGCUGACACUGACGCUCAUGCACGAAAGCGUGGGGAGCAAACAGGAUUAGAUACCCGAGUAGUC